This 492-nucleotide ribosomal RNA is filed under the name uncultured bacterium. RNAcentral describes it as "partial 16S ribosomal RNA". It matches the Rfam family "Bacterial small subunit ribosomal RNA", at positions 29 to 507 of the family's 1533-position model. The record is from RNAcentral.
AGUGAACGCUGGCGGUAGGCCUAACACAUGCAAGUCGAACGGCAGCACAGUAAGAGCUUGCUCUUACGGGUGGCGAGUGGCGGACGGGUGAGGAAUACAUCGGAAUCUACUUUUUCGUGAGGGAUAACGUAGGGAAACUUACGCUAAUACCGCAUACGACCUACGGGUGAAAGCAGGGGAUCUUCGGACCUUGCGCGAUUGAAUGAGCCGAUGUCGGAUUAGCUAGUUGGCGGGGUAAAGGCCCACCAAGGCGACGAUCCGUAGCUGGUCUGAGAGGAUGAUCAGCCACACUGGAACUGAGACACGAUCCAGACUCCUACGGGAGGCAGCAGUGGGGAAUAUUGGACAAUGGGCGCAAGCCUGAUCCAGCCAUACCGCGUGGGUGAAGAAGGCCUUCGGGUUGUAAAGCCCUUUUGUUGGGAAAGAAAAGCAGCAGGUUAAUACCCCGCUGUUCUGACGGUACCCAAAGAAUAAGCACCGGCUAACUUCGUG